GCCCGAGAGCAAAGCGACGGGAGGUGUCCCCUGGCAGGUGUGGACGCACAAAGGCGGCCCUCCUUCACCCAGGCGGUGCAUUCGAGGUCAUCUGACCGGUGCCCCACCCUGGAGACUGGCCUGACUCCGCGGAGGCCCCUGCGUGAUAACACCCUGCGAGUCAGCUGACGGCCGCGUCAGAGCCCCUGCCUCUUUGCACGCUCACGCCUGCCGGAGCCCGGCUCCUGCAGCCUCCUAGCCGCAGUGCAGCAAAGCCGAGGCCGCCAGCUAGGCACAGGGUGCCGUCCUGCUGCCACCACUCAGCAUUCCUUACGCGAGGAGUAUUUACCUUUGGCUUAGCCAGGAGCAGAGAAGCAGUCUGAAUGUGCACGGGGGCUUCUAAGCUGGCAGCGUGAAUCUGCAGCAGAGCGGGUACUGCCGGGAGCCUGGUGGCCAGACUGCCCCUCGUGGAGCGCGGCUGGGUCCCCGGCCCCUGCGGGCGCGGCCUGGGGGCGCGGCUCAGGCUCAGGCCGCGCUGCUAGACCCGCAGGAGUAAAGGCUAGGACAAAGGAGACGAUGCUGGCCGUGGUCCGGCCGGCCGGGGCCCGUGCAAGGCUCGUCCACCCAACCGAAGCCAGGGGACAGUUGAGGCUGGUCACAGGGGCUGCCGCGGGUCCCCCCUCCUCAGUUAGAACACGGUGUCAAGGAGGAAACCAGACUCACUGACCUAAUUCAAUCCCAGUCCUCUCUGGAUGCGGGGACGGCUGCCGAAUAGCAGUGACACAACCAGCCAUCAGUGGAGAAUUACUGUGAGUGCAGCCCGAGACAAGGACAGCCUGAUUCCGGUCAUCUGAUGGCUUCUUCUUAUUUUCCUAACUAAGCGUGCUCGCCAGAGCGCACAGUUGUGUGCAUGAGCCUGCCUUGCGUGCGGUCUGCAUCUGCUCUGGUUGGAAAUCAGGGUGCCAGGCGAGCCCGCCUUCGUGCUGGCUCCUCUCUGCCGCUAGGAAGGGGCACGCAGACAACAAAGAAGGAAGCAGAAAGCAUCACUUUAUCUUCACUCGUGAUGCUGGCGGGACAUAACUUCUUCGCAGUGAUGCCCUCCCGUGUGCCUGUGUGUGCGUGUGUGCGCGCGUGUUUGAAUCCAUCUAAUCGAGGAGCCUCACAGAUACCAUCGUGGAUGUGGCUUUUAAUGAUCUGGAGGAGAGAAAAAAAAAAAAAAAAAAAAGGCAGCCCGUGGAGCCGGCCGCACGUUUAGGUGAUUGCCAAUUCGAAAUACUUUGGUUUGUGAAGCCCGGCCCUGAGGGACCAGCUCGGUAACUGAGAAAGAGAUCGUAGAUAAAGAAAUAAAAAUGACAAGCGUAAUAAUGCAGGCUCUGCGAGAAGGCUGUCAGAGCGUGAGUUCAUGGAUGGCAAUUUCACCAGGCUGAGACUGAAUAAUUCAUAGAUUGAAAUUACCCUGCUUUUCACCUUUCCAUUUAAACCGGCAUGAUCUGAAUCUCUAAUAAAUGUUCGAGAUAAAGUAAAACGCCAAUUUGAAUCUGAAGAGCUUUUAAAACCAGAUGCGGCACCCCGAAUCUUUCGGUAUCUUUCACAAUUAUCCUGUGAGGACCGCACUUCAUCACGAAGCGCCAUUACCAGGGAAAAUGACUGUGAUUACAAUAGCAACAAUAGAAGGCCACCAAACGAUCUCUCAUUUACCUAAUUCGCUAAGACUGACUGUGUGCUGUGAAUGCCCGUUGUGAGUCACCUUGCCUCACACCCGUGGAUCUGCCUCGCGCCGGCACAGAAGCGAGGCGGUGCGUGGAAUAAAUACCCGAACUCUGAGAGCCUAGCAGAGGGCUCUCUCUUGGGUUGCGAUGCGUCUGUGGUUUGUGUUUUUGCGUUCUUCCCCACCCCCCGGUGCUUACACUCCAAGUGCCUGUUUGGGAGAAGUGGUGAGCCUGUGGUGGAUUCGGGGGUGAUGCCUUGACGCGGGAGGGCACAGACUUGUUCAUUUACACACCCCCUUCACUUGAACGUACACCCGCAUGCGUUUACUGGAAGGGAGGAAAGAUUCUGUUUGGGGGGAGUGGCUUAAAAAUGCAGCCCAGAUGAAGGCUAGGUCUUUGUUUCUUCCUCGAAACCCCUGUCUGCUCUCAGGUGAGAGAUCCCUUCAGGAAACUAUAGUCCUGGUGUGAUGUGUUAAAAACCUCUCAGCUCGAAAAGGGGCUCCCGAGACACAUCCACUCAUCAGUCUGUGCAGCUUGUAUUAAAAGCACGUAUUUCCAACUGAGUGAUUAAAUGAAGCUUUCUUUGGCUCUGGCUGUGUCUGCUGGCCCUCCAGUGGAGUCUAACCUAAAGAGGGCUCUUUCUGUCCAUGUCAGGGCAGCUGUGCCCCCGCGAGAAGGAGGCAGGGCUCAGAAAGCCUGGCCGGAGAACGGUUGUCGUGCCGUCAUUCAAGAGGCCCGGCGACCCCCAGAGUUUUACUCUCAGGGGCAUGAAGACAGUGUGUGGGUUCUUGCGGAGUCAAGUGAUUUAAGUUUGAUGAGCUAAGGCAGGGUUUCUGAGGGAUGACGGUCCUCGGGGAGGAAGGUAGGUUUGAAACAUAACCUGUCUAGUAUUGUUGAGUGCUCUGCUUGAGACCCUGAGCUCUGAUAUGCUUCUUAAUCCAUCAUGGUGGCUUUGGCCCUUCCCGUACACCCCCAAAUACCUUUGUCAGAAGGAGGAUGCAGGUGCCUAUCGUGCGUUAACGCUAUCGUGUGUUAGUGCUUGAUGAUCCUGCAAUUUACUGGUUUUGCCACAAGAAACAGGUGGGCAUGAGAAAGACAAGCGAAAAGUUAACCCCUCCCCCCCUACUUCUAACUGCCCGUCACUACGGAGCAUCAACUGUAGUUACAAGGAGUGACUUGAGAUUUAAACACCCAGAAGCACACUCAUAGAAUCCAGCAAACUGCCUUGUGCUUUAAGAUGGAAUGGGUAUCAUAGAUACAGAGAACACAUCGGCGGUUACUAGAGGGGUGGGCAAAAUGGGUGGUGAUGGAUGGCAACUAGACUUUUGGUGGCGAUCACUUUGUAGUUCAUACAGACGUCAAAUUACAAUGUCGUGUACCUGAAACUUACAUAAUGUUAUGUACCAUUUUUUUUUUAUCUUAAUAAAAAACCUAACUAUAUAAA
Long non-coding RNA from Neofelis nebulosa (Clouded leopard), 3132 nucleotides. RefSeq lists it as uncharacterized. The transcript has 3 exons. The record is from RefSeq and is a predicted model, not a curated record. Lineage: Eukaryota; Metazoa; Chordata; Mammalia; Carnivora; Felidae.